AGUCGAACGGUCUUUUAGGAGACAGUGGCGGACGGGUGAGUAACGCGUAAGAAUCUACCUUCAGGUUGGGGACAACCACUGGAAACGGUGGCUAAUACCGAAUGUGCCGAGAGGUGAAAGGCUUGCUGCCUGAAGAAGAGCUUGCGUCUGAUUAGCUAGUUGGUAGUGUAAGAGACUACCAAGGCGACGAUCAGUAGCUGGUCUGAGAGGAUGAUCAGCCACACUGGGACUGAGACACGGCCCAGACUCCUACGGGAGGCAGCAGUGGGGAAUUUUCCGCAAUGGGCGAAAGCCUGACGGAGCAAUACCGCGUGAGGGAGGAAGGCUCUUGGGUUGUAAACCUCUUUUCUCAGGGAAGAACAGAAUGACGGUACCUGAGGAAUAAGCAUCGGCUAACUCCGUGCCAGCAGCCGCGGUAAUACGGAGGAUGCAAGCGUUAUCCGGAAUGAUUGGGCGUAAAGGGUCCGCAGGUGGCAUUGUAAGUCUGCUGUUAAAGAGUUUGGCUCAACCAAAUAAGAGCAGUGGAAACUACAAAGCUAGAGUGUGGUCGGGGCAGAGGGAAUUCCUGGUGUAGCGGUGAAAUGCGUAGAUAUCAGGAAGAACACCAGUGGCGAAGGCGCUCUGCUAGGCCGAGACUGACACUGACGGACGAAAGCUAGGGGAGCGAAUGGGAUUAGAUACCCCAGUAGUCCUAGCCGUCAACGAUGGAUACUAGGCGUAGCUCGUAUCGACCCGAGCUGUGCCGGAGCUAACGCGUUAAGUAUCCCGCCUGGGGAGUACGCAGGCAACUGUGAAACUCAAAGGAAUUGACGGGGGCCCGCACAAGCGGUGGAGUAUGUGGUUUAAUUCGAUGCAACGCGAAGAACCUUACCAAGGCUUGACAUGUCACGAAUCCUAUUGAAAGAUGGGAGUGCCUUCGGGAGCGUGAACACAGGUGGUGCAUGGCUGUCGUCAGCUCGUGUCGUGAGAUGUUGGGUUAAGUCCCGCAACGAGCGCAACCCUCGUUUUUAGUUGCCAGCAUUAGGUUGGGCACUCUAGAGAGACUGCCGGUGACAAACCGGAGGAAGGUGGGGAUGACGUCAAGUCAGCAUGCCCCUUACGUCUUGGGCUACACACGUACUACAAUGCUACGGACAAAGGGCAGCUACACAGCGAUGUGAUGCGAAUCUCGUAAACCGUAGCUCAGUUCAGAUCGAAGGCUGCAACUCGCCUUCGUGAAGGAGGAAUCGCUAGUAAUUGCAGGUCAGCAUACUGCAGUGAAUUCGUUCCCGGGCCUUGUACACACCGCCCGUCACACCAUGGAAGUUGGUCACGCCCGAA
Molecule: ribosomal RNA, 1320 nt
Filed under: Aphanizomenon flos-aquae A1
Lineage: Bacteria; Bacillati; Cyanobacteriota; Cyanophyceae; Nostocales; Aphanizomenonaceae
Description: 16S ribosomal RNA
Rfam family: Bacterial small subunit ribosomal RNA
Source: RNAcentral